AGCUUCUACUUUCGAGUCUCGACUAACAUCUGGUUUUGGACCAUUGUUUUAGCUCCAGAAACAAGAUACAUAAUUGGAUUUACUACAGACUUUACAUCAAAUAAUCUCAGUUUUGAGAUUUUCUUCAAUCUCUUUUGUAUUCCAGGUACUAUAUAGAAGUAUAAUUUCAAUUCUAUUUUUAGUAAACUUUUGUUGAUUCUGAUAUGGAUUUAUAGAUUCUUGUUUGUUCUUUCUUUAUCAUAGAUUUUUAGUUUAAAAAAAGGGUAGCAUUAAAUUAAUUUUCAAGGAAUGAAAUCUUGAGACAUUGAUUUUACAUGCUAAAUAUGGUAAAUAUAUGAAAAAAUUCUGAAUGAAGUGUCACCGCUUUCUUUUCUUUGUUUCACUUUUUCUGUCAAUCUUUAGGAUCUUCUGCAUAUAUAUAUAUUUUUUUGGUUAAUUAUGUUAUUGAUUGUAAUUUUUCAUGAAAUAAUUUGCAGAAUGGUUAAAAGGGCAAUGCAACAAUGGCUACGUGUAAUAAUUACUUUGCUUAUUCUUUUAAUAACUGAAGGACACCCUGUUGAUAUUACUUAUCUUCAGAGUGCUGUUGCAAAAGGAGCUGGUAAGAAUUUUUUUGAAUCAAAGUGAUUAUCUUUUUAAUUUUUUGUCUAAAUAACUCUAAGCAGUGGCGGAUCCAAUAUGGAAGUCGCGGAUUUGGCAAGAACCCGCGACUUCUAACUCAACCUUAAGUGUAUAUAUAUGUGAAAAACAAGGGUAGAUAGAGUUGAAUAUACAUUUUAGUACUUAUAUUUGAAGCUAGAACCAGAGGCGAACUCAGGAUUUUUAUCCG
RNAcentral lists this long non-coding RNA (826 nucleotides) under Nicotiana tabacum (common tobacco). RNAcentral describes it as "long non-coding RNA (NTAB_LNC008450)". Lineage: Eukaryota; Viridiplantae; Streptophyta; Magnoliopsida; Solanales; Solanaceae. The record is from RNAcentral.